GACGAACGCUGGCGGCGUGCUUAACACAUGCAAGUCGAACGCUGAAGCUCAGCUUUUGUUGGGUGGAUGAGUGGCGAACGGGUGAGUAACACGUGGGUAACCUGCCUCCUUCUUUGGGAUAACGCCCGGAAACGGGUGCUAAUACUGGAUAUUCACUGGUCUUCGCAUGGGGGUUGGUGGAAAGGGUUUUUCUGGUGGGGGAUGGGCUCGCGGCCUAUCAGCUUGUUGGUGGGGUGAUGGCCUACCAAGGCUUUGACGGGUAGCCGGCCUGAGAGGGUGACCGGUCACAUUGGGACUGAGAUACGGCCCAGACUCCUACGGGAGGCAGCAGUGGGGAAUAUUGCACAAUGGGCGCAAGCCUGAUGCAGCGACGCCGCGUGAGGGAUGGAGGCCUUCGGGUUGUGAACCUCUUUCGCUCAUGGUCAAGCCGCAACAAUGGUUGUGGUGAGGGUAGUGGGUAAAGAAGCGCCGGCUAACUACGUG
This 483-nucleotide ribosomal RNA is filed under the name uncultured bacterium. RNAcentral describes it as "partial 16S ribosomal RNA". It matches the Rfam family "Bacterial small subunit ribosomal RNA", at positions 28 to 507 of the family's 1533-position model. The record is from RNAcentral.